Molecule: ribosomal RNA, 116 nt
Filed under: Abudefduf notatus (yellowtail sergeant)
Lineage: Eukaryota; Metazoa; Chordata; Actinopteri; Pomacentridae
Description: partial 16S rRNA
Source: RNAcentral
UGCCCAAUAGCUAGCUCACCUCCACAAAAACAAAACCACCCUAUCAAUACCCCCUAACACACUUCAACACACAAACAAACCAUUUUUCCCCCUUAGUAUGGGCGACAGAAAAGGAA